This is a long non-coding RNA of Lotus japonicus, 1178 nucleotides long. RefSeq lists it as uncharacterized. The transcript has 2 exons. Lineage: Eukaryota; Viridiplantae; Streptophyta; Magnoliopsida; Fabales; Fabaceae. The record is from RefSeq and is a predicted model, not a curated record.
UCACUGUGAUAUAAGAGCUUGAGUCAAAAGCUAAUUUUAUAGAUAUUUGAUUCGAUUAUCACUUCAUUAUAACCAUAAGAAAAGGAGCAAUAUUAUUAUUACCAACACCACCUGCACAAGCCUUAUCCUUGAUGAUAACGCAGCAGCAAUAAUGAGUGUCAUUUUCCUAUUGGGAUCUCUUUACGAAAGUGCUACAAUUAAAAUGAGGAUUGAAUAUUGAUAGAUAGAUAUUAGUAUAAUAUCACAAUUGUAAUUUACACGCUACUAGUACUCGUCAGUUUCGUGGAAAGUGCCUUCCUUGUUGACUUGACUACCAAAAUAUGACUAGUCUUGGGACUUCUGUUGUUGAUAAUGGAAUCAAAAUAUCUACAAAGAAAUGAGAAUCCAUAUUGAAGAAGAAGGGGAUGCAAAAAUUGCAAGGAAACUGGCUAUUGUGGGACUCUGGUGCAUCCAGUGGCAUGCCAUGGAUAGACCAUCAAUGCAAAUGGUGCUUCAAAUGUUAGAGGGAGAUGUAGAGACAACUCCAAUACCUCCUAAUCCUUAUAAUUCUUCAGCAGGUGCAGGACCAAGGAGAACAAGUGCUACUGCGGGUGUUGUUGCUAGACAACUAACCCAAGAUUUAGAAGUAAUCCAAGAGUUAGAGUGAUUCAUAGCUUACAAUUACAAUGGGGAGAAGACCUAGGAAAAUGUUGUUUAUGGAGAGCCUAUUGGAGUCAUCAUUCAAGACUUGAACUCCAAUUAAUGAGGCAGCUAGAAAAGCUGCUGGAUUUGGCCCUCAGUGGUAUGAACCGCUUGCUGGUAAAGAGGCCAAUACACAAUAACCAGUUCAUCUCCUUCAUUUCAUUUGGAGUUUCUUACUGCAUGCAUCUUGGGGAGCUGUAAGUAACACUUUGUCAAAAACAGAUGUUUUGAAUGGGACCAGAACAUAAUUGUCAAGAUUAAAACAUUUUAUAUGAAUUUUAAGCCAUUAAAGUUGGGAUGGUUGUGAGACCAUGAGGUUUAGGAAGUUUGCAUCAGGUUAUAUCUCAUUGUUAUUGUUGUCUUUGGAAAAUAUGAAUUUCAAAGACUAUGUUAUAUCUCAUUGUUAUUGUUAUUAUAGUAUCUUUUGUGAUUAAAGUGUGUAGUCACUUUUGUAAUAACAAAUUUCGCAAACCAAUAUUUCAGACGUUCUAAGGAAA